Molecule: non-coding RNA, 371 nt
Organism: Drosophila melanogaster (fruit fly)
Lineage: Eukaryota; Metazoa; Arthropoda; Insecta; Diptera; Drosophilidae
Source: Ensembl
GCACAAUCCCAAAGGAAAUAUCCCAGUGCGGAUCAUCCCUUGUUCCUGGCAAAUCCUCACUUGUUUAAAAGAUCCCACCUGAACAUACCCAUUUCGGACAACUGCUGCUGAGAACCCACGUACAUCACGCAAUCAACUGUAGCGCAAUGGCCACGCAACAAGCAGCAAAGAAUAAAAAAAUCACUUUUAUGGCAAAGAUCAAACUGGCAGAAAAACAACAGCGACGUCGAAAAAUACGUUACCAAGGUAGUCCGACGACGAUCGCUUCGGUUGCCGUUGCACUGAGAAUUUUUUUUUAAUUUUUAGAUAUAUAUUUCAUGCAUAUCACUUAACAAAAAAAUAAAAUGCUCUUCUUAAAUAACCUCAAACGU